RNAcentral lists this transfer RNA (66 nucleotides) under Sarcophaga pterygota. Its description in RNAcentral is "tRNA-Pro". Lineage: Eukaryota; Metazoa; Arthropoda; Insecta; Diptera; Sarcophagidae. The record is from RNAcentral.
CAAGAGGUAGUUUAAUAAAAAUAUUAAUUUUGGGGAUUAAUGAUAAAGAAUAUUCUUUUCUCUUGA